CUACGGUCGCACCAGUGAGGAAUAUUGCACAAUGGGGGGAACCCUGAUGCAGCAACGCCGCGUGGAGGAUGACGCAUUUCGGUGUAUAAACUCCUUUUAUAUGUCAAGAAAAUGACGGUAGCAUAUGAAUAAGCACCGGCUAACUCCGUGCCAGCAGCCGCGGUAAUACGGAGGGUGCAAGCGUUACUCGGAAUCACUGGGCGUAAAGGACGCGUAGGCGGAUUGGAAAGUCAGGUGUGAAAUCCUACAGCUUAACUGUAGAACUGCACUUGAAACUUCUAAUCUAGAGUAUGGGAGGGGGAGAUGGAAUUAGUGGUGUAGGGGUAAAAUCCGUAGAUAUCACUAGGAAUACCUAAAGCGAAGGCGAUCUCCUGGAACAUUACUGACGCUAAGGCGUGAAAGCGUGGGGAGCAAACAGGAUUAGAUACCCCCGUAGUC
This 438-nucleotide ribosomal RNA is filed under the name uncultured bacterium. Its description in RNAcentral is "partial 16S ribosomal RNA". It matches the Rfam family "Bacterial small subunit ribosomal RNA", at positions 339 to 795 of the family's 1533-position model. The record is from RNAcentral.